RNAcentral lists this ribosomal RNA (376 nucleotides) under uncultured Planctomycetota bacterium. Its description in RNAcentral is "bacterial SSU rRNA". It matches the Rfam family "Bacterial small subunit ribosomal RNA", at positions 521 to 896 of the family's 1533-position model. The record is from RNAcentral. Lineage: Bacteria; Pseudomonadati; Planctomycetota.
UAAUACAGAGAGUGCAAACGUUGUUCGGAAUUACUGGGCUUAAAGCGCACGUAGGCGGCAUUGUUAGUGUCGGGUGAAAGCCCACGGCUCACCCGUGGAACUGCCCGGCAAACUGCAGUGCUAGAGUGUGGUAGGGGAGAGCGGAACUCAUGGUGGAGCGGUGAAAUGCGUAGAUAUCAUGAGGAACACCGGUGGCGAAGGCGGCUCUCUGGUCCAUAACUGACGCUGAGGUGCGAAAGCUAGGGUAGCGAACGGGAUUAGAUACCCCGGUAGUCCUAGCCGUAAACGAUGGGUACUAGCUUGGGGUCUCCCUGUGUGAUCCCAGGUGAAGCUAAAGUAUUAAGUACCCCGCCUGGGGAGUAUGGUCGCAAGGCUG